Molecule: ribosomal RNA, 473 nt
Filed under: uncultured Allobrachymonas sp.
Lineage: Bacteria; Pseudomonadati; Pseudomonadota; Betaproteobacteria; Burkholderiales; Comamonadaceae
Description: bacterial SSU rRNA
Rfam family: Bacterial small subunit ribosomal RNA
Source: RNAcentral
CAAAGGAUUGACGGGACCCGCACAAGCGGUGGAUGAUGUGGUUAAUUCGAUGCAACGCGAAAAACCUUACCCACCUUUGACAUGGCAGGAAUCCUGAAGAGAUUUGGGAGUGCUCGAAAGAGAACCUGCACACAGGUGCUGCAUGGCUGUCGUCAGCUCGUGUCGUGAGAUGUUGGGUUAAGUCCCGCAACGAGCGCAACCCUUGCCAUUAGUUGCUACGAAAGGGCACUCUAAUGGGACUGCCGGUGACAAACCGGAGGAAGGUGGGGAUGACGUCAAGUCCUCAUGGCCCUUAUGGGUAGGGCUUCACACGUCAUACAAUGGUCGGUACAGAGGGUUGCCAACCCGCGAGGGGGAGCUAAUCCCAUAAAACCGAUCGUAGUCCGGAUCGCAGUCUGCAACUCGACUGCGUGAAGUCGGAAUCGCUAGUAAUCGUGAAUCAGAAUGUCACGGUGAAUACGUUCCCGGGCCUU